This 240-nucleotide unclassified non-coding RNA is filed under the name soil metagenome. Its description in RNAcentral is "partial contains 5.8S ribosomal RNA, internal transcribed spacer 2, and large subunit ribosomal RNA". The record is from RNAcentral.
AACAUCGCGCACCUGCGGGAACCUGCGGACGGAUCAUUACAGAGUUGCAAAACUCCCUAAACCAUUGUGAACGUUACCUAAACCGUUGCUUCGGCGGGCGGCCCGGGUCCUUCCCGGCGCCCAUCGGCCCUCGCGGGCGCCCGCCGGAGGUAAACCAAACUAUUGCAUUGUAUGGCCUCUCUGAGUCUUCUGUACUGAAUAAGUCAAAACUUUCAACAACGGAUCUCAGAUCGGAAGAGC